CCCAGACUCCUACGGGAGGCAGCAGUGGGGAAUAUUGGACAAUGGGGGGAACCCUGAUCCAGCGACGCCGCGUGAGUGAAGAAGUAUUUCGGUAUGUAAAGCUCUAUCAGCAGGGAAGAAAGAAAUGACGGUACCUGACUAAGAAGCCCCGGCUAACUACGUGCCAGCAGCCGCGGUAAUACGUAGGGGGCAAGCGUUAUCCGGAUUUACUGGGUGUAAAGGGAGCGUAGACGGCGAUGCAAGUCUGAAGUGAAAGGCGGGGGCCCAACCCCGGGACUGCAUUGGAAACUGCGAGGCUGGAGUGUCGGAGAGGCAGGCGGAAUUCCUAGUGUAGCGGUGAAAUGCGUAGAUAUUAGGAGGAACACCAGUGGCGAAGGCGGCCUGCUGGACGAUGACUGACGCUGAGGCUCGAAAGCGUGGGGAGCAAACAGGAUUAGAUACCCUAGUA
This 448-nucleotide ribosomal RNA is filed under the name uncultured bacterium. RNAcentral describes it as "partial 16S ribosomal RNA". It matches the Rfam family "Bacterial small subunit ribosomal RNA", at positions 330 to 792 of the family's 1533-position model. The record is from RNAcentral.